AGGGGGCAAGACUGGUGUCAGCCGCCGCGGUAAUACCAGCCCUCCGAGUGGUGGGGACGCUUAUUGGGCCUAAAGCAUUCGUAGCCGGCUGGGCAAGUCCUCCGUUAAAUCCAACGAUUCAAUCGUCGGACUGCGGGGGAUACUGUCUAGCUAGGAGGCGGGAGAGGCCGACGGUAUUUUCGGGGUAGGGGUGAAAUCCUAUAAUCCCGGGAGGACCAUCAGUGGCGAAGGCUGUCGGCUGGAACGCGCUCGACGGUGAGGGAUGAAAGCUGGGGGAGCGAACCGGAUUAGAUACCCGGGUAGUCCCAGCUGUAAACUCUGCAGGCUGGGUGUUGGUGCGGCUACGCGCCGCUCCGGUGCCGUAGGGAAACUGUUAAGCCUGCCGCCUGGGAAGUACGGU
This 400-nucleotide ribosomal RNA is filed under the name uncultured archaeon. Its description in RNAcentral is "bacterial SSU rRNA". It matches the Rfam family "Archaeal small subunit ribosomal RNA", at positions 441 to 841 of the family's 1478-position model. The record is from RNAcentral.